Molecule: long non-coding RNA, 1561 nt
Organism: Stegostoma tigrinum
Lineage: Eukaryota; Metazoa; Chordata; Chondrichthyes; Orectolobiformes; Stegostomatidae
Exons: 3
Source: RefSeq, a predicted model, not a curated record
UCACUGCCCCCAAUAAAGAUGGUGACGGUCACACGGGCCGAUCGCCAUCUGAGGCGUUGAUUUGUUUUCUGCAAACGUGAGUCUGGGAGUUUCAAAUGGGUGUGUUUUCCGACGUGCACUAACUGUUUGUAAAACUUCCCUCCAGCUUUCUACCGUUUUGCUUUCUUUACUGUGGCCUGCUCUUACCUCAAUUGCACAAAUCUUGGUCUCAGCGAAGGAUCUAGGCCCGAAACGUCAGCUUUCCUGCUGUGUACAUCCAGCUGCACACCGUGUUAUCUCGGAUUCUCCAGCAUCUGCAGUUCCGGUUAUCUCAGCGACUCUGCACCGCACUCGUGGAUGAUCACGUGGUUUUCACUGAUCCCGCCCUCCCUUCAUUCCGAUUGGGCGACAUCCGUCCGGUCAUGCAGGGCACACCUGUGCUCCUAUUGGUCGCGCACUGACAUCAAUCAGCCGGACUUCACUGUGAGCUGGAGCAUGCGCAGUGCUUUGUGUUAUUGUUGGAAGCAAAUGAACGUCGUCGCAAUGUUGCAUUUUGAGACGAAUGAGACUGAAAACUGGAUCUGUCUUUUUACCUUCACAGAUGCUGCCAGACCUGCUGAGCUUUUCCAGCAACUUUGUUUUUGUUCCUGAUUGACAACAUCCCAGUUCUUUUGUUAUUUUUUAAUAAGUCGCGAUUGAAAAGGCUUCCGGCAGCUCAAAGCUAAAGGUACUCUUGAUACCGCUCUGUCAGCCAAUAGAGAAAUAGCGAUGAAAUAAGGGUAAUAAAUACAGGUCUAGCAGUCCUCAGGUAAGAUGUAAAGGGAAUAAUUAUGAAUAUGAAGAACAUCACGUGGUGAAGUGAGGUGAGUGUUGUUCAUAUGAACUGUGAUUGGACAGAGAGGGAGGUUAAUCAAAAAAGAACAAGCAGAAAAGAGACUCUCAAGAAAGGUCUGUGCAAUGGAAAGCAACGAGAAUCAGAAGAUAAAAGCCCAACACAAGAAAAAGUUUGAAGACCGCGGCUGCAGAAACUCCAAUAAGUUGUUUCACUGCUCUACUGCCUAGUUAUUGACUUAAGCAGUAUAAUCCACAUUCAACUACCAGAAAUAUGUGUGAAUUUCCACAUUGCUGUUUGUCCUUCCACUUGAGGAGGAGCAUUUGGAAUGGCAGGAAGCAGCUGACAUCAGUGAUGUUUGGCUGGAAGUACAAGGUGAAGCAGGAAAACUGCAGUAUGUUUCAGCAAUGCUUUUAAAACAAAAAUCGUAUCAUCUGAUUAAAUCAACGUGGUCAAUCCAGAAGAAGACAUUCCAUGAUGGAGACAGGGCAGUUGCAGGUAAGUUCAAGGUCACCCUGGGGCCAGGCAUGUUUGACAAUUUCAUUCCUUUUUCAGAGUCAAACAAGUGAGGUCGCAAAGAGGAAACCAACAGCUGCAUAACACCUGGAUCCCCAAGAGGCAUUUUGUAGGGUGUCACACUGGUGGCUAAUAGAUAAGAUAAGGGCUCUGGAACUGAAGGUAAUGUAUGAGCAUGAAUAGAGAGUUGGUGAACAUGCAGGACAUAACACUAAGUGUUGUUGUGACUGUGAU